RNAcentral lists this unclassified non-coding RNA (507 nucleotides) under Hevea brasiliensis (rubber tree). The record is from RNAcentral. Lineage: Eukaryota; Viridiplantae; Streptophyta; Magnoliopsida; Malpighiales; Euphorbiaceae.
GAUCUAUUCCUGGAGGUUCGAGCAACUCCAGGGCACACAUCAGGAUGUGUCACCUACGUAACAGGGGAUGAACCUGAUCAACCUCAUCCUAGGAUGGCAUUCACUGGGGAUACUCUGUUGAUACGUGGAUGUGGGAGGACAGAUUUUCAGGGUGGAAGUUCAAAGCAGCUCUAUGAAUCUGUACACUCGCAGAUUUUCACUCUGCCAAAGGACACAUUGAUCUAUCCAGCUCAUGAUUACAAGGGAUUUAGUGUUAGUACUGUAGGUGAAGAGAUGGCAUACAAUCCCCGGCUUACCAAGGAUCUGGAAGAAUUCAAGAAAAUUAUGGAAAAUUUGAACCUGCCUUAUCCAAAGAUGAUGGACAAAGCAGUUCCAGCAAACUUGGUGUGUGGAUUGCAAGAUCCAGCUUGCUAACUCUGUCAUCCCUGUAAUUCAUUGUGUAUAAUUGGCCUUUCUUGCUAUAGAAAAACAAAAUAAAAACAAAAAUAAAACAAAGAUCAAUCAAAA